Molecule: ribosomal RNA, 536 nt
Filed under: uncultured Citrobacter sp.
Lineage: Bacteria; Pseudomonadati; Pseudomonadota; Gammaproteobacteria; Enterobacterales; Enterobacteriaceae
Description: bacterial SSU rRNA
Rfam family: Bacterial small subunit ribosomal RNA
Source: RNAcentral
GUGCCAGCCGCCGCGGUAAUACGGAGGGUGCAAGCGUUAAUCGGAAUUACUGGGCGUAAAGCGCACGCAGGCGGUCUGUCAAGUCGGAUGUGAAAUCCCCGGGCUCAACCCGGGAACUGCAUUCGAAACUGGCAGGCUGGAGUCUCGUAGAGGGGGGUAGAAUUCCAGGUGUAGCGGUGAAAUGCGUAGAGAUCUGGAGGAAUACCGGUGGCGAAGGCGGCCCCCUGGACGAAGACUGACGCUCAGGUGCGAAAGCGUGGGGAGCAAACAGGAUUAGAUACCCUGGUAGUCCACGCCGUAAACGAUGUCUAUUUGGAGGUUGUGCCCUUGAGGCGUGGCUUCCGGAGCUAACGCGUUAAAUAGACCGCCUGGGGAGUACGGCCGCAAGGUUAAAACUCAAAUGAAUUGACGGGGCCCGCGACAAGCGGUGGAGCAUGUGGUUUAAUUCGAUGCAACGCGAAGAACCUUACCUGGUCUUGACAUCCACAGAACUUGGCAGAGAUGCCUUGGUGCCUUCGGGAACUGUGAGACAGGUG